RNAcentral lists this ribosomal RNA (430 nucleotides) under Pseudomonadota bacterium. RNAcentral's name for it is "Proteobacteria bacterium partial 16S ribosomal RNA". It matches the Rfam family "Bacterial small subunit ribosomal RNA", at positions 355 to 776 of the family's 1533-position model. The record is from RNAcentral. Lineage: Bacteria; Pseudomonadati; Pseudomonadota.
UGGGGAAUAUUGGACAAUGGGGGGAACCCUGAUCCAGCCAUGCCGCGUGUGUGAAGAAGGCCUUAUGGUUGUAAAGCACUUUAAGCGAGGAGGAGGGUACUGGUAUUAAUACUACCAGGUACUGGACGUUACUCGCAGAAUAAGCACCGGCUAACUCUGUGCCAGCAGCCGCGGUAAUACAGAGGUUGCGAGCGUUAAUCGGAUUUACUGGGCGUAAAGCGUGCGUAGGCGGCUAAUUGAGUCGGAUGUGAAAUCCCCGAGCUUAACUUGGGAAUUGCAUUCGAUACUGGUUAGCUAGAGUGUGGGAGAGGAUGGUAGAAUUCCAGGUGUAGCGGUGAAAUGCGUAGAGAUCUGGAGGAAUACCGAUGGCGAAGGCAGCCAUCUGGCCUAACACUGACGCUGAGGUACGAAAGCAUGGGGAGCAAACAGG